CGUCUUGAAACACGGACCAAGGAGUCUAGCAUGUGCGCGAGUCAUUGGGAACUAAUAAACCCAGAGGCGCAAUGAAAGUGAACAGCGCCGACCUAGCGUCGGCCGCAGGGAAGAUGGCGGCCGGUACGCCCGUCCGCCCGCAUUCCCGAGGCGUUUCGAGAAAUGCCAUCGUUGCGAUUAUCGAGACGCACUGAGAGCGCACACGCUGGGACCCGAAAGAUGGUGAACUAUGCCUGGUCAGGUCGAAGUCAGG
Molecule: ribosomal RNA, 253 nt
Filed under: Trichovespula macrocera
Lineage: Eukaryota; Metazoa; Arthropoda; Insecta; Trichoptera; Tasimiidae
Description: partial 28S large subunit ribosomal RNA
Rfam family: Eukaryotic large subunit ribosomal RNA
Source: RNAcentral